ACACUUCUCUUUGUUCAUCCCAUAUUCUAAGUUCACCCCAACUUCUAAUUUAAAUUUUCACAAUUUCUAAGCAAACCUCACUAUCUUCCCAAACUACCUCUAAAUACACACACCAGAAAAAUAAAGAGAUAAAAACACUGUUGCCAAGAAAAUAAAAAUGACAGCUGAUGAAAAUGGGGGAUAUUUAUUUGUUGCGAGGUUAGUAGAAGAGACAAUCUUGCACAAGGAAGAGCCCAAGGAGCUCAAAGUUUC
RNAcentral lists this long non-coding RNA (252 nucleotides) under Prunus persica (peach). RNAcentral's name for it is "long non-coding RNA (PPER_LNC001241)". Lineage: Eukaryota; Viridiplantae; Streptophyta; Magnoliopsida; Rosales; Rosaceae. The record is from RNAcentral.